RNAcentral lists this ribosomal RNA (253 nucleotides) under uncultured bacterium. RNAcentral describes it as "partial 16S ribosomal RNA". It matches the Rfam family "Bacterial small subunit ribosomal RNA", at positions 524 to 776 of the family's 1533-position model. The record is from RNAcentral.
GACGAACCGAGCGAACGUUGUUCGGAAUCACUGGGCUUAAAGGGCGCGUAGGCGGGCUGCCGCGUCCGGGGUGAAAUCCCACGGCUCAACCGUGGAACGGCCCCGGGUACGGGCGGCCUCGAGGAAGGUAGGGGCGUGCGGAACUGUGGGUGGAGCGGUGAAAUGCGUUGAUAUUGUGAGGAACGCCGGAGGCGAAAGCGGCGCACUGGAUCUCUUCUGACGCUGAGGCGCGAAAGCGUGGGGAGCGAACAGG